Molecule: ribosomal RNA, 1027 nt
Filed under: Teloschistes hosseusianus
Lineage: Eukaryota; Fungi; Ascomycota; Lecanoromycetes; Teloschistales; Teloschistaceae
Description: partial 23S ribosomal RNA
Rfam family: Bacterial large subunit ribosomal RNA (bases 1-497)
Source: RNAcentral
UUUUGUAGAUAUUGGGGGGUCGUGAAGACUCUAUCAGUUAGUAUCUGUUCUCGGAAGGGCUAGGAUUAAUAUUGAAUAAUCAGACAUAGUACGCUAAGGUUGUAUGUCUAAAGGGAAACAGCCCAGAACAAGUGUUAAUAAGGUUCCAAAAUUAUUAUUAAGUGAAAUAAAGGUAGUUUAUGUUUUAUACGAUCAGGAAAUGGGCUUAGAAGCGGCCAUUUUUUAAAGACCUCGUAACAGAGCACUGGUUUAUCCUAAUAUCUAGGAUAAGUUAUUAAGUAUUAUAAAAAAAAAAUAUCCCGGAGAGAUGGGGAGAAGAACCAGACAAGAUAGAGGAAGAAGUUAGAAAAGAGUUUAGAAAAAAGUUCCAGAAUGAAUUAGACUUCUUUUUUUUUUUUAUAAUACUUUAAUUUAUACACGGAUGUAAGCACCGACGAUACAACGGAUCUAAAUAAUAUACCGAGACCUUGUCCAUAUAUAUUAUAUAUAUAUUGUAGAAUGGGUAGCUGUACAAAGGGUAUAUUGUACUUUUUCUGAACAAGAAGGAACAAAAAAAGUUAGUAUAUUGAAAAAUUGUCCAUAAUAUAAUAUAGAUAUCGUGUAAUGGGGUAGCGGAACAUUGGGUAUAUCGCACUUUUUUUCUAGAAAAAAAAAUUAGAUUUCCCAAGUGAAAAUGCUGACAUGAGUAACGAUAAAGGGGACAAAAUAUUAAAAACCCCUCGCCUAAAGCUUAUGGUAUUUAGUUAAAGUAACGGCCUCUAAGUUUAUAAAUUUAUUUAAAAAAAGUUACAUAGUAGAUUAAAAAGAAAGAGAUCUUUUUUCUUACUUAACCUAAAGGAUUAAACGAUGAGCAAAACUCAAGAUACAUAUAAAUAACACUUAUACAUAGUUACUUGUAGCAAUGUUAAAGUGAUAAGUGUUCUGGAAAAUAGUAUCAUGCCCUUAUAUGAAUAAAUAAACUGAAACAGAAUGAACUAAGAUAUAAGGGUAACCGUACCUAAAAACUACCACAAGUAAGCAAGUAGAG